CCAUCCACCCCGGCCCGAUCCACUCCCACCCCACCACUCUCUCUAUCUCAGGAACUCCGCACGAUCUCCUCGGUCCACCCCACCCCGGCUCCUCUCCCCAUGAUCUCCUGGCCGCCGCCCCCACCCACGCCGGCCGGUUCCGGCGAGCACCGGCCACGCGCAACACCCCCCCUCCUCCUCCUCCUCCCCCUCCCUUCCCCUUCCUCCUCUGCCCGCCCCUUCUCUCUCCUUCCUCCCGGCGGCUGGUGAUGGGCGCGGACGAGGAGGAGCACCAGUCCCUUGCGCGGAAGCGCGAGCGCGAGGAGGGGGAGGAGCCCGUGGCCGCCGACGAGAAGCGCCCGCACACGGCGGACAAGUCGGAGGGCGUUUACCAGGAGAGGCCGCCCCGAAGCCUCUCGCCGUCGGAAACCCUCGCCGACCAUCUACACCGGAGCACCAGCGAGAAACCGUCCUCCUCCCGCUGCAGGGAAAAGAAACAUGUGCAGAUGUUGAGGUAGUCAUAUCCAGUGAACGCAGGGAAGUCAUUCAUUUGUCAUGCCAUGGAAGUAUCGUUUGAAGUUUCCUUGCUGUCAAGACUUUUUUUCAACAUCUAUGAGGUGGCAAGCAAAGUUAUGGUAACUGCAGCUCAUAUCAGGGUGACCGACGAGGACUACUGCGGCCCGAUGGGAGUCGGGCUCUUCAACUACUCGGAGGCAUACUUCACCGUGAAGCCUCGCGACCAUGUCAUACAGAUUAUCGUCCAGGUGAUUGCGACGCAUGAGGUCCCCGGGGUGGAGGACCUCGACGCCACCGUCCGGAGGUCACCGAGGUGGAGGACGACGCCACCGUCUGGAGUUCCUCAAGGUGGAGGACCUCGACUCUUUGUACAUACAUCUAGAGAAGUGGUCUGGUUAGGUUGGUGGUGAAACGCUAGGGAAGGUACCAACCUUUUGAUGAUGGUUGUGUGCGUCCUCGUGAUCUCUUCGUGUUGAGAUGUUCAAUGUUGCAUCCAUGAACACUGCAAGUGUUAAGAUGGUGCUGUGAAAUUUAUUUUGCAUUGGAUGUGUC
Molecule: long non-coding RNA, 1047 nt
Organism: Triticum urartu
Lineage: Eukaryota; Viridiplantae; Streptophyta; Magnoliopsida; Poales; Poaceae
Source: RefSeq, a predicted model, not a curated record